AUUGAACGCUGGCGGCAGGCCUAACACAUGCAAGUCGAGCGGAUGAAGGGAGCUUGCUCCUGGAUUCAGCGGCGGACGGGUGAGUAAUGCCUAGGAAUCUGCCCGGCAGUUGGGGAUAACGUCCGGACACGGGCGCUAAUACCGCAUACGUCCUGAGGGAGAAAGUGGGGGAUCUUCGGACCUCACGCUAUCAGAUGAGCCUAGGUCGGAUUAGCUAGUUGGUUGGGUAAAGGCCUACCAAGGCGACGAUCCGUAACUGGUCUGAGAGGAUGAUCAGUCACACUGGAACUGAGACACGGUCCAGACUCCUACGGGAGGCAGCAGUGGGGAAUAUUGGACAAUGGGCGAAAGCCUGAUCCAGCCAUGCCGCGUGUGUGAAGAAGGUCUUCGGAUUGUAAAGCACUUUAAGUUGGGAGGAAGGGCAGUAAGUUAAUACCUUGCUGUUUUGACGUUACCAACAGAAUAAGCACCGGCUAACUUCGUG
This 484-nucleotide ribosomal RNA is filed under the name uncultured bacterium. Its description in RNAcentral is "partial 16S ribosomal RNA". It matches the Rfam family "Bacterial small subunit ribosomal RNA", at positions 30 to 507 of the family's 1533-position model. The record is from RNAcentral.